GCAUAACGCGAAGAACCUUACCAAGUCUUGACAUCCCAAUGACCAGCAGAGUAACGUCUGCCUCCCUUCGGGGCAUUGGUGACAGGUGGUGCAUGGUUGUCGUCAGCUCGUGUCGUGAGAUGUUGGGUUAAGUCCCGCAACGAGCGCAACCCUUGUCCUUAGUUACCAGCACGUUAUGGUGGGCACUCUAAGGAGACUGCCGGUGACAAACCGGAGGAAGGCGGGGACGACGUCAAGUCAUCAUGGCCCUUACGUGUGGGGCUAGAAACGUGCUACAAUGGUGGUUACAGUGGGCAGCGAGGUCGUGAGGCCAAGCUAAUCCCUAAAAGCCAUCUCAGUUCAGAUUGUAGUCUGCAACUCGACUACAUGAAGUUGGAAUCGCUAGUAAUCGUGAAUCAGCAUGUCACGGUGAAUACG
This 417-nucleotide ribosomal RNA is filed under the name uncultured bacterium. Its description in RNAcentral is "bacterial SSU rRNA". It matches the Rfam family "Bacterial small subunit ribosomal RNA", at positions 954 to 1370 of the family's 1533-position model. The record is from RNAcentral.